AUAUUAUAAAUGCCUUCUUGCGAUUCCCAAGUGUUUAAAACUAUUUAAUUUAAGUCAAAAAAGCAUCAAAAUUGUACUUAUAAAGCAAUAAAAAAUAUAUACGUUUACUACAACCAAAUUAAAGAGAAAAAAAUAUGGCUCAAAUUCUUAUGUUUGCUUCUGCUUUGAUCAUCUUUCUUUCCUUAUUUCUUGUUGUAAACGGCAUAACAAGUACCGUUCCCUGCACGGGUGACCAAGAUUGUAAAGUCCUUACAGGUUAUGUAGGUGAGUGUACUAAUGGCUUUUGUGAGUACUAUAGGCUUUAGGUGUGAUUCACUUGAAUGUGAAGGGAAAGACAUAUCUGCAUGAAUAACCGGAAGAACAAUAAGAGAGCAUGUCUGGAUUUUUUAGUCGUGUUCAUUUAUCUACAAUUUGUUAAUAAAAAAGCUAUUAUUUAUUUUCACUUAUGAAGAUGAUACAUAUGCUUGUAACAAAAAAAUGUAAUAUAUAAUUACAUAAAUUUAUAAUUUUGCUUUACA
Long non-coding RNA from Trifolium pratense (red clover), 518 nucleotides. RefSeq lists it as uncharacterized. The record is from RefSeq and is a predicted model, not a curated record. The transcript has 2 exons. NCBI's taxonomy places the organism in Eukaryota, Viridiplantae, Streptophyta, Magnoliopsida, Fabales, Fabaceae.